This 253-nucleotide ribosomal RNA is filed under the name uncultured bacterium. RNAcentral's name for it is "partial 16S ribosomal RNA". It matches the Rfam family "Bacterial small subunit ribosomal RNA", at positions 524 to 776 of the family's 1533-position model. The record is from RNAcentral.
UACGAGGGGUCCUAGCGUUGUUCGGAAUCAUUGGGCGUAAAGAGCUCGUAGGUGGCUUAGUAAGUCAGGCGUGAAAGCCCAGGGCUCAACCCUGGAAGUGCACUUGAAACUGCAUAGCUUGAGUACGGUAGAGGUGAGUGGAAUUCCUGGUGUAGUGGUAAAAUACGUAGAUAUCUGGAGGAACACCGGUGGCGAAGGCGGCAUCCUGGACCAACACUGACGCUGAGGAGCGAAAGCCAGGGGAGCAAACGGG